ACGGGGCGCAGCAGGCGCGAAAACUGUGCAAUGCGCGAAAGCGCGACACGGGGAACCUGAGUGCCUUGACACAGUCAAGGCUUUUAUCAAGCCUAAAAAGCUUGAUGAAUAAGAGCUGGGUAAGACGGGUGCCGGCCGCCGCGGUAACACCCGCAGCUCUAGUGGUGGUCACUUUUAUUGAGCCUAAAGCGUUCGUAGCCGGUUCCGUAAAUCUUCAGAUAAAUUCAUUCGCUCAACGGAUGAUCUUCUGAAGAGACUGUAGAACUUGGGACCGGGUGAGGUUGAAUGUACUUCCGGGGUAGGGGUAAAGUCCUGUAAUCCUGGAAGGACAACCGGUGGCGAAGGCGUUCAACUAGAACGGAUCCGACGGUGAGGAACGAGGGCUAGGGGAGCAAACCGGAUUAGAUACCCGGGUAGUCCUAGCUGUAAACACUGCCCACUUGGUGUUGCCUCUCUGUUGAAGGGGGGCAGUGCCGGAGCGAAGGUGUUAAGUGGGCCGCUUGGGGAGUAUGGUCGCAAGGCUGAAACUUAAAGGAAUUGGUGGGGGAGCACCGCAACGGGAGGAGCGUGCGGUUUAAUUGGAUUCAACGCCGGAAAACUCACCGGGAGCGACCUUUGGAUGAGAGUCAACCUGAUGAGUUUACUCGAUAGAAGGAGAGGUGGUGCAUGGCCGUCGUCAGCUCGUACCGUAGGGCGUUCACUUAAGUGUGAUAACGAGCGAGACCCCCAUCUCUAAUUGCAAGUAUGUCUUUGCGGACAUGCGCACUUUAGAGGGACCGCCAGCGCUAAGCUGGAGGAAGGAGGGGUCGACGGCAGGUCAGUACGCCCCGAAUCUCCCGGGCUACACGCGCGCUACAAAGGACAGGACAAUGAGUUGCAACCUCGAAAGGGGGAGCUAACCUCGAAACCUGUUCAUAGUUAGGAUUGAGGGCUGUAACUCGCCCUCAUGAAUGUGGAUUCCGUAGUAAUCGCGGGUCAACAGCCCGCGGUGAAUAUGCCCCUGCUCCUUGCACACACCGCCCGUCAAACCAUCCGAGCUGGUGUUGGAUGAGGGUAUGCCCGAGAGGACAAACUCGAAUCUGAUGUCAGUGAGGAGGGUUAAGUCGUAACAAGGUAGCCGU
This 1121-nucleotide ribosomal RNA is filed under the name uncultured archaeon. RNAcentral describes it as "bacterial SSU rRNA". It matches the Rfam family "Archaeal small subunit ribosomal RNA", at positions 325 to 1450 of the family's 1478-position model. The record is from RNAcentral.